GGAUAACUAUUAUCCAAUGCUUCUCAAGCAUGAUGCAAUGAUUGAUCUCUAAGUCAUGAAGCCUCAACAUGCCUGUUUAUUGGCCCAAUCCUUAGUUAAGUCAGACCCAUCAUUCAAUAUAUAAGCAAAGCCAUCAUUGGAUCCCUCACUGUGCCUGAUUAUUGCACCUAACCCCAUCUCUACCUAACAAUAUCUCAUGCUAAUAGGGUGGUUGUAUCUUUCUAGUGCAACUAAACCAUUGUAACC
RNAcentral lists this long non-coding RNA (246 nucleotides) under Elaeis guineensis (African oil palm). Its description in RNAcentral is "long non-coding RNA (EGUI_LNC059822)". Lineage: Eukaryota; Viridiplantae; Streptophyta; Magnoliopsida; Arecales; Arecaceae. The record is from RNAcentral.